UUGCAAUGUUGAAUUGAUAACCUUUGAAAAUAUGUGUAUUGAAAUGAAAGAUAAGUUUAUAGGGUCUAUCUCGUUUUGAGGACUCUAAAACAAUAUCACUGUAACCAUUAGGAUGUGAUAUACUACUUGUAAUGAUACUAAUACGGGAACAGUGAAACUUCCAAACCAAAUAUUUGUAUCUAUGAAAGUAUUUAGUAAACUUUGUAAGUAAUAUUUGGUACCAUAAUGAAAUCUCUGACUUAAUAUGAUUUACCAGCUUUACACAGAUACGGGUCAUUUCAUG
Molecule: long non-coding RNA, 283 nt
Filed under: Mytilus galloprovincialis (Mediterranean mussel)
Lineage: Eukaryota; Metazoa; Mollusca; Bivalvia; Mytilida; Mytilidae
Source: RNAcentral